RNAcentral lists this ribosomal RNA (436 nucleotides) under uncultured bacterium. RNAcentral describes it as "partial 16S ribosomal RNA". It matches the Rfam family "Bacterial small subunit ribosomal RNA", at positions 29 to 507 of the family's 1533-position model. The record is from RNAcentral.
AACGAACGCUGGCGGCAUGCCUAACACAUGCAAGUCGAACGAUGGUCUUCGGAUCAUAGUGGCGCACGGGUGCGUAACGCGUGGGAAUCUGCCCUUGGGUUCGGAAUAACAGUUGGAAACGACUGCUAAUACCGGAUGAUGUCGAUAAGACCAAAGAUUUAUCGCCAGAGGAUGAGCCCGCGUCGGAUUAGCUAGUUGGUGGGGUAAAGGCCUACCAAGGCGACGAUCCGUAGCUGGUCUGAGAGGAUGAUCAGCCACACUGGGACUGAGACACGGCCCAGACUCCUACGGGAGGCAGGAGUGGGGAAUAUUGGACAAUGGGCGCAAGCCUGAUCCAGCAAUGCCGCGUGAGAGAUGAAGGCCGUAGGGUUGUAAAGCUCUUUUACCCGGGAAGAUAAUGACUGUACCGGGAGAAUAAGCCCCGGCUAACUCCGUG